AUCUACAGAUUCAAGUACUCAGCUCUGAAAACCUUUAACUGUGCAACAUUUGUUGUAGUAACUGCCUUAAAAGUAGUUGUGCUACUAUAAUAGUAGAACUAUAGUGGUUUUGUAGUUAGUAUUUGUUUGUAGUCGUGGCAGUACUUGUUGUAGUUACUACUAACAAUUGCAUAAUUAGUAGUACCAUUUAUAAUAAGUGCUAAUACUAUAAGCAGUAGUACAAGUAUCUGCAGUGUCCAGGUUGUGAUGUCAGUGAGGGGGUGGAGCCUCUGAAUCAGCUGUUAGAGUUCACACGUCCUCUGUGACCCGCAGCGUGGUGCCGUUACUGAAAGAAUCCAUCGGGAUCCUGAUGCAGAGAACUCCUCCGUCCCUGGACCACGCCCUGCCCGAGUGUUACCAGAGGGUGCAGAAGCUGCAGGGAGUUUUAACCUACAGGAGCCUCACUUCUGGACUCUGUGUACUGACGUUUACAUCGGAACAUUAAAGCUGCUGGUCGCCCCUGACGCCGACACCCGCUGGAUCCUCAGCCAGACGCACAACAUCUUCACACAGGCCGGAGUUCGACAGCUCUACGUUCAGAUUGAAAAGGCUUCCAUGUAGAAGCUCCUCCUCCUCUGAACACCAGGGACCAAUCACCUGCAGGCGACCUCUGAGGGUCAGACUGAGACCAGGGGCUGGGCAGUUAAGAACUUGACUGAUCUCCCAUGAUGCUCCAGCCCAAUGCAUCCUGGAUGAACUCAGACUGCACCCCCCCCCCCCCCCCCCAUUUUUUAUUUUUUUUUUAAUAACCUUACCUGUCCGGUUGGCGGGCACUGUGACCCCGCCCUCCUCCUUCUGGCUGUACUUUGUAGACUGGAAAAAAGCAUUCUGGGUAAGUGCCUUCAUCAUCAGAGACUAUCUGAGCCCGCUUCCUGUCCAGAUGCCCCCUCCCCCCGUGACAUCACUGCUGCCAACUGAUUGGUCCGUGUGAUGUUACUGUGUUUUUAACGUGCCAAACCAUGUGACCAAAUCAUAUGACAAGUCAGUGGGUUUCAGUUUUUUUCAACUGUAAUAAAUAAUUUUGUUUCUCUGA
Long non-coding RNA from Micropterus salmoides (largemouth bass), 1072 nucleotides. RefSeq lists it as uncharacterized. The transcript is spliced from 3 exons. Lineage: Eukaryota; Metazoa; Chordata; Actinopteri; Centrarchiformes; Centrarchidae. The record is from RefSeq and is a predicted model, not a curated record.